This 825-nucleotide long non-coding RNA is filed under the name Oncorhynchus kisutch (coho salmon). RNAcentral describes it as "lncRNA (ENSOKIG00005023182.1)". The record is from RNAcentral. Lineage: Eukaryota; Metazoa; Chordata; Actinopteri; Salmoniformes; Salmonidae.
AUGGAGGAUAAUAAGAGUUUAAAUGAAGAUGAUCCACAUGAUCAUCAAAGUUUGGAAGGUCAAGUCCAGAAAAUGAAGAAUGAUAUCCUGGGUUUAAACUAUCCAGAAGAUAGUGAAGUGAAGGAUCCCCUGCCUCAGAUCGAGCUGAAGGCUGUGACAAGGAGAGAAGUUAAGACCAAGAGGAGGACCAGUGCCAACAGGUCCACAGUUGAACAGAGCACUGAUAGUGAUGCGGCUGAGAGAGAUUUUGUUGAUAAUCAGAAUGAUGAAGAUGAGGAAAAGGUGAAGAAGGAUCCCCUGCCUCAGAUGCAGCAGGAUGCCGUGAAAAGAAAUAAAGUCAAGGUAAGGGAAUAGAUUGAGCAGAGAUGUGGAUAUUUGUGAUAUCUUUCAUAUCUAUAACCUGCCCCUACAGCAUGUUGUUCCGAGGAAGGUAAAUUGCCCAUGCAAUAACCUUUUAUCUCCUAAUAGUAAAUCUAGGGCUGACCCCAUUUGGUCGACAGUUUGGUCGAUAGGCUGUUGGUUGACUGGGAUUUCUUAAGUCGAGCAGCCGUUAUAUCAUGUAAAAAUAAUGGGGUAACACUAAUAAAUCAAAUAUUAUUUUAUAACAAAUGCGCUUUCUCCUGCAUUGGAUACGGUCGCUGUCCAUGGUUCUGAAACAUAAUCCUCAGUGCUCCGUAGAAUUGCCGCCCUUUCCUAUGUUGCUAUGUGCAUAAUAACAAAGUUAACCAGCAUAUUGGGAUUGAGAACAAUGCUGCAGAGGCAGCAGCAGAGACGGGGAAACAGCCCUGGCCUUAGCCUAAUUGUCUAAGAAAAUUGAGGAGAGAG